Molecule: unclassified non-coding RNA, 387 nt
Filed under: soil metagenome
Description: partial contains 5.8S ribosomal RNA, internal transcribed spacer 2, and large subunit ribosomal RNA
Rfam family: 5.8S ribosomal RNA (bases 1-122)
Source: RNAcentral
GAUGAAGAACGUAGUGAAAUGCGAUAAGUAAUGUGAAUUGCAGAAUUCAGUGAAUCAUCGAAUCUUUGAACGCACCUUGCACCCUUUGGACUGCUCCAAAGGGUAUGCUCGUUUGAGUGUCAUUGUACUCUCACACUCUCUGAUCCUUUGGAUUUGGGGAGCAGUGGACUUGGGUGCUUGCUGCUUCCUUGUGGCUCACCUGAAAUGCAUCAGUGCAACUCUCGGUUGGACAUAGUACGGCGUGAUAAGUGUCUUCGCCGGCGCCUCAUUCGAGGGUGGCCGAUCGGGAGCUCUGUGCUUCAAACUGUCUUCGGACAACAUCUGACAACUUGACCUCAAAUCGAGUAGGACUACCCGCUGAACUUAAGCAUAUCAAUAAGCGGAGGA